UUGCAUGGCUGUCGUCAGCUCGUGUCGUGAGAUGUUCGGUUAAGUCCGCUAACGAGCGCAACCCUCGCUGUGUGUUAUAUGUGUCACACGGGACUGCCGGUCUUAAGCCGGAGGAAGGUGGGGAUGAUGUCAAGUCAGCAUGGCCUUUAUAUCCUGGGCUACACACACGCUACAAUGGCCAACACAAUAGGUUGCUAAGCCGCGAGGUGGCGCCAAUCCAUAAAGUUGGUCUCAGUUCAGAUUGUAGGCUGCAACCCGCCUGCAUGAAGAUGGAGUUGCUAGUAACCGCAGGUCAGCUAUACUGCGGUGAAUACGUUCCCGGGGCUU
This 327-nucleotide ribosomal RNA is filed under the name uncultured Leptolinea sp. RNAcentral describes it as "bacterial SSU rRNA". It matches the Rfam family "Bacterial small subunit ribosomal RNA", at positions 1041 to 1382 of the family's 1533-position model. Lineage: Bacteria; Bacillati; Chloroflexota; Anaerolineae; Anaerolineales; Anaerolineaceae. The record is from RNAcentral.